Long non-coding RNA from Venturia canescens, 338 nucleotides. RefSeq lists it as uncharacterized. The record is from RefSeq and is a predicted model, not a curated record. NCBI's taxonomy places the organism in Eukaryota, Metazoa, Arthropoda, Insecta, Hymenoptera, Ichneumonidae. The transcript is spliced from 2 exons.
CCAUCUUUGAUUGCCCUUUCUUUCUCUAAAUUUAGGUCGGCAAAACGCGAUGGUCGUCAGUUUAUAUGACGAUGCAAAUAAAAAAACAAUUCCUCCGAAAUACGCAGAUGCCGAAAAGGAGUCGCGUGGAAUCCUCACACGGGCAACUGUGAGUGUGAUCAAACAUGGGGAGGAUUACAACCUUGAAUUAGUUUUCGAAGACAAAAGGAAUUUCCAUUUUUCGAACGACUGAGAAUGCUAACAACCAGCUCGGAUCCAACGGAAAAAAGUAUGUUUCACCUCGGAAACCGAAUGACUUACAAAGUGUAACUUGGAAUAAACACGAAUUUUGUUCACAA